AAUCACUCUUCCUGGUCCAAUAUUUUAACGAUUGAAUGGGGGAACCAGGAACAUCAUCAGAGCAACCCUCAUCAGACAUGAAUGAACCCAAGUACAAGGGUGUACGGAGACGAAAAUGGGGGAAGUGGGUGUCGGAAAUCAGGCUGCCGAACAGCCGGGAGAGGAUAUGGUUAGGAUCCUUUGAUACAGCAGAAAAGGCGGCGCUUGCAUUCGAUGCUGCCUUGUAUUGCCUGCGCGGUCGGGAAGCAAAGUUCAACUUCCCCGAUAAUCCACCAGAUAUCGCCGGCGGUCAGUCACUUACUCCACAAGAAAUCCAAGUAGUUGCUGCGAGGUUUGCGAAUGAAAACUCAAGGAUGAUGAGGAGUAGCACUAAUACAAGCACAGGUGAGUCAUCGUCAUGGCAAAUGACGGAUCAGUACCAAUCGUCGUCGUCGGAUGGGGCAGUGCAGGUGGAAAGAGGAAAGUCGAUAGAUUGGUCGUCGAUUCUGAAUGAGUUGGACUCUAAUGAGUAUGGACUCUAUCCAGGGCUAGACAGCCAGUAUUAUCCACCACAACCAUCUGUUCUUGAUCAUGAUCAUAUUAAUGGGAAUGAUGGUGAUGAUCAAAAUGGGGAUGAGGCUUAUUCCCAGCAAUCAUUUCUUUGGGACUUUUGAUCGUUUUAUCAGGAGUUCGGCGAAUUUUAGCUGCCGGUGUCGCUGAUAUUUUUUUCUUCCACUUAAUUUACAGUAUACCAAUUAGUCUGGCGGGAAUUUGAAGCCUACUACUUGUGAGAGGGAAAUGGACAAUUUUUCUGUGCCAUCUCCGGCAAAUUAUUGAGUGCUGUAGAACCAAUUAAUGGCGUACAUUUCUAGUAGCUAGGAAACCCUUUUUUUGAGGUUGCGUGCAAGUGAAAUUUCGUGCUACACAAUUCUAUUCUAG
RNAcentral lists this unclassified non-coding RNA (918 nucleotides) under Hevea brasiliensis (rubber tree). The record is from RNAcentral. Lineage: Eukaryota; Viridiplantae; Streptophyta; Magnoliopsida; Malpighiales; Euphorbiaceae.